Molecule: transfer RNA, 96 nt
Filed under: Thermoproteus sp.
Lineage: Archaea; Thermoproteati; Thermoproteota; Thermoprotei; Thermoproteales; Thermoproteaceae
Description: tRNA-OTHER
Rfam family: tRNA
About the family: Transfer RNA (tRNA) molecules are approximately 80 nucleotides in length. Their secondary structure includes four short double-helical elements and three loops (D, anti-codon, and T loops).
Source: RNAcentral
GCCCCGGUAGCUCAGCUCGGUCGGAGCGCCCGGGUGGACGUCGCGCCAUCGCCGCUCGUAAGCGGGAGGUCCCGGGUUCGAAUCCCGGCCGGGGCU